RNAcentral lists this ribosomal RNA (422 nucleotides) under uncultured bacterium. RNAcentral describes it as "bacterial SSU rRNA". It matches the Rfam family "Bacterial small subunit ribosomal RNA", at positions 137 to 593 of the family's 1533-position model. The record is from RNAcentral.
UACGGAACAACAGUUGGAAACGACUGCUAAUACCGUAUACGCCCUACGGGGGAAAGAUUUAUCGGAAUUAGAUGAGCCCGCGUAAGAUUAGCUAGUUGGUGGGGUAAUGGCCUACCAAGGCGACGAUCUUUAGCUGGUCUGAGAGGAUGAUCAGCCACGCUGGGACUGAGACACGGCCCAGACUCCUACGGGAGGCAGCAGUGGGGAAUAUUGGACAAUGGGCGCAAGCCUGAUCCAGCCAUGCCGCGUGAGUGAUGAAGGCCUUAGGGUUGUAAAGCUCUUUCACCGAUGAAGAUAAUGACGGUAGUCGGAGAAGAAGCCCCGGCUAACUUCGUGCCAGCAGCCGCGGUAAUACGAAGGGGGCUAGCGUUGUUCGGAUUUACUGGGCGUAAAGCGCACGUAGGCGGUUUGUUAAGUCAGGG